Long non-coding RNA from Homo sapiens (human), 1010 nucleotides. RefSeq lists it as uncharacterized. Lineage: Eukaryota; Metazoa; Chordata; Mammalia; Primates; Hominidae. The transcript has 3 exons. The record is from RefSeq and is a predicted model, not a curated record.
GGCUUCCACAACAAGUUACCAAACCCUGGGUGGCUUAAAACAACAGGAUUUCAGGUUCUCGUCAUCUGGAGGUCUGAAGUCUGGAGUCAAGGAAUCAGCACGGCUCUGCUCACUCCGAAGGCUCCAGGAGAGAACCUUUCUUUGCUUCUUCCAGCAUCUGGUGGCUGCAGGCAUUCCCUGGAUUGUGGCAAAGUGUGUGGUGCAACAGCAGAGUGGAAAGAGAAUGUGUGGAUCAGACAUACCUGGGUGGAAACUGACUUUACCAACGACUGGCUGGCUGCAAGACCUUGGCGAUUAUCCUUAACCUAGCCUCAGUCUCAACCUGUGACACGGCAAUGGCAGCUUAGAGAGGUUAAGCUACUUGAGUCACACCCGUGUCAGGUGGAGGAGCUGAACCUUGGAUGCAGGAGUAUCCGUUUCUACUGUCUCAACUCUUCCUAACUGCUUUGGAAUGACAGAAUGAGGAAAUGCACCCAACGUGAAUUUUGCGUUCACCAUUACCUGCAAAAUGUCAGUGGCUAAUGCCAGCUUUGGCUGACUGUCCUGAUAUCCAGAGCAAUGGUUCCUAAAUUUUGGUCCACGGUCCAGUGCCAGCUUAGGACCAAGGAUUCACAGUCUUUGAUGUGAGGAAAAUAAGAACAUAAAAUUGGCCAGGCGUGGUGGCUCACGGCUGUAAUCCCAACAAUUUGGGAGGCCCAGGCGGGCAGAUCACCUGAGGUUGGGAAUUCAAGACCAGCCUGACCAACAUGGUGAAACCCCAUCUCUACUAAAAAUACAAAAACUAGCUGCGCAUGGUCGCGCAUGCCUGUAAUCCCAGCUACUCAGGAGGCUGAGGCAGGAGACUCACUUGAACCCGGGAGAUGGAGGUUGCAGUGAGCUGAGAUCACACCACUGCACUCCAGCCUGGGUGACAGAGCGAGACUCCAUCUCAAAACAAACAAACAAACAAACAACAAACAAAAAACCCAUAAAAUUAAAUGUAUUAAAUUAAAGAACUGCCUUAACUAUGA